UCCCAGACUCCUAUGGGAGGCAGCAGUGGGGAAUAUUGCACAAUGGGGGAAACCCUGAUGCAGCGACGCCGCGUGAGCGAUGAAGUAUUUCGGUAUGUAAAGCUCUAUCAGCAGGGAAGAAAAUGACGGUACCUGACUAAGAAGCCCCGGCUAACUACGUGCCAGCAGCCGCGGUAAUACGUAGGGGGCAAGCGUUAUCCGGAUUCACUGGGUGUAAAGGGAGCGUAGACGGCCAUGCAAGCCUGGAGUGAAAGCCCGGGGCCCAACCCCGGGACUGCUCUGGGAACUGUGCGGCUGGAGUGCGGGAGGGGCAGGCGGAAUUCCUGGUGUAGCAGUGAAAUGCGUAGAUAUCAGGAGGAACACCGGCGGCGAAGGCGGCCUGCUGGACCGCGACUGACGUUGAGGCUCGAAAGCGUGGGGAGCAAACAGGAUUAGAUACCCGAGUA
RNAcentral lists this ribosomal RNA (446 nucleotides) under uncultured bacterium. Its description in RNAcentral is "bacterial SSU rRNA". It matches the Rfam family "Bacterial small subunit ribosomal RNA", at positions 329 to 792 of the family's 1533-position model. The record is from RNAcentral.